UCAAUGCAACAAUGACGAAGUACCUGCUUGCUGGAGAUUCAGGGAAGCAAUGUAUAAGUUGACUUGCAUCAGGGAAGCAGUGUAUAAGUUGACGGCGACAAUCUUGAAGUAGUAAAGGAGUUUUGCUAUCUCGGGACGGUCGUUACUUCGGACAACGACAUCAGCAGCGAAAUCCGGAUACGCAUUGUUCAGGGGAAUCGGGCAUACUAUGGGCUUCACCGACUGCUGAGAUCUAGAAGACUUCGAGCCCACACGAAAUGUUAGAUAUAUUGCACAUUGAUUCGCCCGGUGAUCCUCCAUGGACAAGACUCCUGGAUCGUCCGAUCGGAAGAGGCAAACGCUCUGGGCGUGUUUGAGCGACGUAUCCUCCGGACCAUCUUUGGCAGUGUGUUAGCGCAUGGAGCGUGGAGGAGAAGGAUGAACUACGAGCUUGCUGAGCUGUACGGCGAACUGAGCAUCCUGACCGUGGUGAAGACUGGCAGGAUACGAUGGCUGGGGCAUGUCAUGAGGAUGCCGGACUCAUACCCCACCAAGAGGGUGUUCGACAGCGAUCUCCAGUUUGGCAUAAGGGCAGGGGAGCACAGCGAACUCGAUGGCGUGACCGGGCCAUGUCACGUCGACGUGCUCUAUCGUGUGCAGUCCAACAAGAGCGACAGAGAAAAUCAAGAUUGGAUAAAAUUGCACAUUGUGGCUUGCAAAUUAAGCUGUAUUUAUAAUGUAUUACCAGCAAUCAAAAUCGUCGGAUGUCAAAAUUGGGAAUAAUAAUGGUUGAGGAUUGUUCGCUUAUUUGUCUCAUAUUAAUAUCGAAUUCUUGGCCAAUUUUGCCAACAAAGGCAAAUACGAGUAAAUUUGUCUUCUUUGGUUGUAAAAAAUACUGCGCAUGCAUAAAAAAUACUAUGUACGAGUCGAUCUAUACAGCUGAUGUAUACAGUUCCCAUUACACAAUCGAUUCGUCAGCUAAAUAAUGUACUAUAAGAUCCAUUUAGAAAUUCUAUUCUUCAAGCUCACGCGUCAGCAGAUUCUGUCAAACUGCCAGUACUACAUUAUUGCAGCAGACCCCAACCUGUCCAUGCGCUUCAACAGCUUUUCUAGCAGCAGGAGCAGCGGAUUCGGAAGUAAUGAUGAACUUGCAUAACUAUUAAUGUUUUUCACUAUUUGAUAUUUUUUAAGAGUUUGAAACGAUUUUUCUUUGUUCUUCGAAAAUCGUCUGGACAGCGAUUAAUUUCAAUACGAGAUGCGACAUAAAUACUACAGGCCAUUUCAAAAUCAAUAGAUAACAGAGAUAAUCAAUAUAGAUAGUGAAAAACUUGUUACCUAGUACUUAGAAGAGUAGAUUAAGUAAUAUUAGAUAACAAAGCUAUAUGCAAUUUUAUAAUUUCGACUGAGGUUAAAAGAUGCUUGGUAGACGAGGUAAAGUAGUAACUGAAUUUUUUUUAGUAGUAGUCGCGUAUGAAACAGUUACACAAAGCGAAUCAAGAAAUGUUUUAAUAGUUUGGAAUAGCUCCCAAUUAAUGUAC
Molecule: long non-coding RNA, 1517 nt
Organism: Anopheles arabiensis
Lineage: Eukaryota; Metazoa; Arthropoda; Insecta; Diptera; Culicidae
Exons: 3
Source: RefSeq, a predicted model, not a curated record